GGGGGCGCUUGGUUUUGACAGCAUAGAUCUUUGAAAGCAGAAGCAUGUCAGGCGUUGUGUAAUUAGCCUGUAAAUCUGAAUACUCAAAUCAUAAAUGGCAAUACUCAGUAUGCCAUGGCUGCCUAAUCAGUGAUUAAGUAGUCAUUAGGGCCGCGUUGAGCCGGUUGUUCUGUUACCACGCUCCGCCGCCGACUUAUAAAACAAAAACAGGAUGCUGUUGCAUUAGGCUGUGCCUGUAACAAAAGACCCAUACAGCUAAGUGAAAAAUCGGUUUGUUCUUUCCCUGUUUUUCGCCGACAAUCAAUACAAGAAAUAAGCAUGUAGAAGGCUUUUGGGGAAUGUGUUUGGACACCGGUUCGAGUCCGGUCGCCUCCACAA
This is a non-coding RNA of Niabella soli DSM 19437, 378 nucleotides long. It matches the Rfam family "transfer-messenger RNA". From Rfam's summary of the family: Bacterial tmRNA, also known as 10Sa RNA or SsrA, is named for its dual tRNA and mRNA-like properties. Its role is to liberate the mRNA from a stalled ribosome. The record is from Rfam. Lineage: Bacteria; Pseudomonadati; Bacteroidota; Chitinophagia; Chitinophagales; Chitinophagaceae.